GGGGAUGUUCUGGAUUCGUCACGGCAUGGAGUAGCGUAUAAGCAUGUCAUGGUCGCUCAUGUAAAAAAGCAGAGGUUAUAAUAACCGGAAACCAAUCUUUAAGUUUCGCUGCCUAAGAACAGGUGCGAGCCAAAUCUGAAUUUACUUACGGUUCUGAUGCGGCCCAAUUUUAGUAAGUUAUAUUUAUUAUCGUUCCUAAGAUAAUAAAAGAACCCUUUAGGAUAGUGUUGUAGCCUUUUGUUCGUUUAGGAUACUGCAUGAAAUUAUAAAUGAAAUAAACAUGUAGAAAGUACUCUAUAAAGUGUUUUGCACAGGGGUUCGAUCCCCCUCAUCUCCACCA
RNAcentral lists this transfer-messenger RNA (340 nucleotides) under Acholeplasmataceae. RNAcentral's name for it is "UBA2284 sp018817915 Standard tmRNA". It matches the Rfam family "transfer-messenger RNA". From Rfam's summary of the family: Bacterial tmRNA, also known as 10Sa RNA or SsrA, is named for its dual tRNA and mRNA-like properties. Lineage: Bacteria; Bacillati; Mycoplasmatota; Mollicutes; Acholeplasmatales. The record is from RNAcentral. RNAcentral also lists the same sequence under 1 other name.